This 4106-nucleotide long non-coding RNA is filed under the name Sus scrofa (pig). RNAcentral's name for it is "lncRNA (ENSSSCG00065023488.1)". Lineage: Eukaryota; Metazoa; Chordata; Mammalia; Artiodactyla; Suidae. The record is from RNAcentral.
GCUUCUAAGGCAGGUUAACAGGUUCCUCCAUCUCUGCCGAGACGGUGAAACUGCCGGUUCCCCAGCCGGCCCUGUCACAGCGAGGCAGGGGCAGCCUUUCGGAGACUGCCUGAGCCGCCAAGACCUAAGAUCUGCUUCUUGAGCUUCGAUCUGUCACGAGCCAGGCAUCACAGAAGGAAAUUAAUUUUUUCAAAACAAAUUUCCUCAAACCACAUAAAAGAAAUUCUGUUUUUGUUUUUCUCACGAGCAGAGCAUAGAGGGAAGAAGGGAGGUUUGGGGUCACUCCCCAGGGGGAUUCUGGAUGCGUUUGCCGGUCUGCAAAACUCCUGGAAGGGCUGUGCGAGGACCCGCACAGUGAGGACAGCAAGGCUUGGCCACGGUCCAGGCAUGUGGCCACCCAGGGCCCAUGCGCUGCUGUCACCGUCCUGCUGGGACACACCUCUUCGUUUCUGCUUCUAGGAGGCUUCACUCAGCUCUAGUUUCAAGGCCAUUCUGGGACCUCCUGACAUCCCUGCGAUGUCAGCCCCACGCUCCCUCUGGAUUAUCCUCAGACCUGCAUCACCUCCACCCACGGGCCUUGCCUGGACUUCCUGCCCCGUCCCUGCCCCUGAAGCCACUGCUGAGGCCAGGCAGGACACCCAGCGCCCUGGACAUCUCAACCCCUUGCUCUGGGGUUCCUGAGCCCAGGGAGGUGGGACCUCUCCCUGCGGAAGCCUGGGUUCCCCCUUUGAAAAUCAGGGGCUCGAAUCCCCGUGUGACUGCUCGACAGCAGGAGAUGACAUGUGUGCAAUGUUUCAUAAACCGGGAGAGGGCUGAGCGGGCGAGGGCUGUGUCAGCCCCCUCCCACCCCAACUACUUGAGGGAGGACGCUCCUCUUGGUCACCGGGAAGAUGGGUGGGCAGCAGGGACGGUGGGCUCCAGGGAGCCUGUGGAUGGGACCUGGUCCCAAGGCUGCAGCCUGAACCUGGGGUGUGUGCGAAGGAGACAGGAAAGAAGGACCAGACCUGGCCAGGUCAAGCUCUCAUCGCUCCCCUAAGUGACUCUCAGCCUCUGUUCUUGCCCUUCCGGCCAGCUCUUCCCCCAAAAGCCCUUUAAGCAAAUCCACUGUGUGUAGGGACCACCCAGCCCCUUCCCUGGGGCACAUCUGAGAAGGCGGGAAACUGCCAGCCCCGGGUCAUUCCUCAGAGGCAGCGUGGAGCAGUGGGGCCAGUGCAGGCUCUGGGGUUGCAGGGAAACCCUGCUCCCAUCUCCUGGGGUUCCAGCACAGCCGUGGGGCUGAGGACUCAGCAGGCAGACUGCAGGCACCAGCCAGGCGACCCAGGGACCCCCGGUCUCAGAUAAUCACAGCAGGCCAUUGCAGGGUCACUGGGAGUUAAGCCGGGUACCUGGCACACAGUAGCACCUAAUAAAGAUGAGACACUUUCUAUUGCUAGUAUUCACGCGGCUGGGCUGGCAACCCCGUCAGUAAGAGGGCGGUUAAAGGCGCACCUGCCCCGGAGUUUAUUAAGAGGAUGAAAUGAGACGAUGCUCGUAAAGUGCUCAGCGUGGUAUCUGACACUCAGCAAGGGCUCGACACAGGAGAGGGAAGUCCUCGGCCUCUGGCUUAAGUUUUCCAGGAAGCCAGGCUGUUGGGAGGAGGGGCCAGCCUCCGCUUGAGCAGGGAGAUGCGCUCUGGCCAGUGACUAAGGCUCGGGCGGCAGGAUGCAGCGGCUCGGGCAGGGCGGGGUUGGGCUGAGGCCGAGGCUGGCCCGCGUUCAGGGUGAUGCAUUUUUACCGUAAGGCCCUGGGUGACUCCAGAGCCAGCGCUGGCCUCCCGGUCCCUGGGGCCUGACACUCACCAGCCAGCAAUGAGAGAUGCUUCGUAAAAGAGGCAGAGACUCUGGAGCCCUCAAAAGCACACACAGUGAGAAAGACGGGGACAGGGCCUGGGAGGAAAGGACAGAUUCACAGGCACGUGGCAUUUAAUAAAUGCCACCCUCUGUUUGUUUAACCAUCUGAGGUGCUAUGAUAGCAGGGCAGGUCUGGGUGCCAGGCUGGGUUCUGGGACCGGAGCCAAAGUCAAUUAAGACCGGGGGUGGAGGGGAACCCAAAAAAGGGUGAGGAGAAGAGAAAGACACACACACACACACACACACUCUCUCUCUCUCUCUCUCUCUCUCUCUCUCUCUCUCUCUCUCUCUCCCUCCCUCUCUCUCCAUGCAGAAAACAGAGAGAUCAGGUUGUGGGCUUCAGCGACCAAAUACAAGUGUCCAAAUGCCGGCAGGGCCCCCUACUUGCUGAGUAAGGUCAGGCCAAUUAAUUAAGAGCUCUGUGAUCCACUUUCCUCAUCUGUAAAAUGGGAAUGAUAAUAUCCACACCCCCUUCCAAAGGGGACCAAAGUAAGCACAGGCUCUUUGCUAGGGCUUAUAAAAUACAGGGGAAGAGUCACCUUGGGACUUAGAAAACCUCAUUCUACUGUGAUCUUCCUAUCUUCUGUAUCCCAUCACCACACUCGGCCUCUAGCAAGCAGUCAAUAUACACAUGAUGGUGUCCAGAGAGCCAGAAACCUGCCCCCGGCAGCAAAGAUACUCAGAGAGCGGGUGGGGUGAGGCUGUACCUAACCCCAGCAUUCUCCCCAAUGUCAACUAGGCAGCGACUACUAUGUCCACUUUAGAGGUAAGGAAACCGAGGCCAAAGAUCUGCAGGCUCACGGUGUGCCUGGCCUUGGGCUGAGCAGGGAAGAAGAAAACAGCAGAAAGAGCAGUUAUUACAGACAGACUACAGGGUUCCAGGGCAAAAGAACUGGUAAAGGGCGGGCUUAUUCACAGUUGUAUUUUAGCCCAGAUUGUCUCAACCAGCCUUUGGGGAAUAGCAAUAAUUUCUUCUGCUUCGAUCAACUUCAUUUACCAUCUCGAGCCCAAUUCUUUUCCAAUAGGGAAUAAAAGUGCAGCCACUAAAAGUCAGACAUUCUUUUAAACACAUCCAACCCCGCUGUGUGGCUGUGGGUUAGCUAGCUACCCUCUCUGAGCCUCCAUUUCCUCUCAUGUGCAAAUUGAGCAAAAUACUCACCUCCCUCCUGCUAUGGGGUGAGAAAAGACCACCAUGUGACCAGCCUUCAAGACGGGGCACCCCUUGUCAUAAACGAAAGACACAUCGUAAAAAAGUGACCUUGGGUUUAACUUUGCCACGCCACUGUGAAAAUGAAAAGGGUAAACUUUAAUAAAUACUGACUAUAUAAAUGAAUCCAAUCGUGACCCGAGAGCUUUCUGCUUGGCGAAAACUGGAGAAAAAGGAAUUUGAGAAUGAGCUCAAAAGGUUGGAGAGAGAGCGUCAUGGGUCAAGUGGAGGCUGACAGGUGCUGGGGGAAGACAGUGGGACUUGCUUUUCUGAAAUUCUAGGGAUUCCAGCAACAAGGGACCAGCCACAGGCACUUCCAGGUAAAAGAAAGGCUCUUGCAACACUGUAAAUCACCUAUGCUUCAAUAAAAUUUUUAAAAAAAGAAGAAAGAAAGUCACUGUUCCCAAAUUCUGACCCAUGUGCACUGGCUCUGGGGAGAGACUCAGUUUUCUUGUCUGUUCAAUGGGGAUGAUGUUAUUUUCUGCCGUAUUCACACAAAGCCCUUAAGACAGUCUAACACCCAGGAAGUGUGCAAUAAGUGUGAGCUACUCCUUUUUAUUCCUGGGUGAUAUUAUUGCCACUAUCCCUCCGUGGUCCCUCUUCUUUCUUCUUCUUGGGAAUCAGCACUUUCUCGGAGACAAACGACAGGGACCGAAGUGGUGCUAUUCUUUAUUGCUUUGGCAAAAUAAAAUAAAGAUCACAACCAUUUCCUUUCCAUUCUGAGUGCCCAGGUGACCAGGAAACACCCGGAGACUUAAAGAGGCUUUCUUAGCCCCGAGUUCAUCUUCCUGCAAAGCCUUAAACUUUUGCUCCUUCCUUUCACUAGACUACAGGCUCCCCAGGGACGGAGAGCAUAUCUGCUCUGCUUGCCACGAGACCCCCAGCACUUGGGACAGUGGCUAAUUUACAUUAGGUACUCGGGAGAAUUAACGGGGUAACUGGCGUAUAAUCAUCGCUCUACAAGUUUGGGUGCAUCCCUGUGAGCAGAGGAGCCAACGAUCAUAAGUUCU